GGGAGAGGUAUAAUGGGGAAUGCUGGAAAUGGCUUUGGCCAGGGCAUUGGUGCUACCCCUCCAUUAUUGCAUCCCAGUUCAAUGAUGGGGCAAGGGUUUGAUCCAGCGUUUGGCGCACCUAUGGGGAGAAUGGGGACUUAUGGGGGCUUUCCUGGGGCUCCUACGCCUCCAUUUUCAGGGAUUCUAUCUUCCUUCCCGCCUGUUGGAGGUGUGGGGUUGCCUGGAGUGGCACCACAUGUAAAUCCAGCAUUUUUUGGAAGAGGAAUGCCAAUGAAUGGCAUGGGAAUGAUGCCUGCAACUGGUGUUGAUGGAACCAAUAUGGGAAUGUGGUCAGAUCCUAUUAUGGGUGGAUGGGUUGGGGAGGAGCAUGGUGGUGGAAGAGCUGGCGAGUCUAGUUAUGGUGAGGAAGCUGCAUCUGAUCAUCAGUAUGGUGAGGUUAGUCAUGAUAGAGGAGGUUGGCAGAACACCAUUAAGGAGAAAGAUAGAGCUUCAGAAAGAGACUGGUCUGGAUCCUCUGAUAGAAGGUAUCGAGAUGAUAGGGAAGCUGGUUAUGAUAGAGAUAUGCCUAGAGAAAAAGAUAUGGGUGGUCAUGAUCAUGACUGGUCGGAGAAAAGGCAUCGUGAUGAAAGGGAUGUUGGUAGAGAAAGGGAGAGGGAGCGUGAAAGGGAUAGGGAACGAUCCAGAGACCGUGAACGUGAGCGAGAAAGGGAUCGCGAUCGGGACAGGGAUCGUGAUCGUUGUAGGGAAGACCGGGAUAGAUAUGUUGAUCAUCAUAGGUACAGGGACCGUGAAGUGGACCAUGAUGAUGAUUGGGACAGGGGUAGGUCAUCACGGACUCACAGCAAAUCAAGAAUAUCACAAGAGGAGGAGCAUCGUUCAAGAUCAAGGGAUGCUGAUUAUGGAAAGAGACGAAGGCUUACAUCUGAGUAACAUAGUAAUCAACCUAUUAUUAGCAAAAUUCAGAAAGUAUUGGGUUCAUCAAAUUUCUUUUGAAUCUCAUUGAAGAGGUGUUUUUGGGUUCUUCAUUUCUUUAACAGCAGUUCUCAGUUCAUUGCCUGAAGUUUUUCUGGUUGCUUCUUCCCAUGGCAGCAUGGUUACAUUAUCUUGCAAAAGGACUUGAAGGCAUAUGAUCUUGAGAAUCAAGGCUGUUCGACAGAGUUGUAGGUUAUAAACAGAGAUGACAAGUACCUCAACCUUCUAUUUGAGAACUGCAUGGUGGUUGCUAUUUUGCCUGCAUUGAUGUAGAAGUGGAACUUUUGGUUUUAAGUUGUUAGCUUUCCUUUCUCGUUUAUUUUUCAAUUAAUUAACACUUGAUCAUCAAACCAAUGUUGUGGAUUAUGUUAUGGCUUGAAAUUGCUGAAGUCUGGAUGUGGUAGAUUAAUAUAGAUCUUACUGUUUGAAUGUGAUGUAAUAGGAUUUAGAUUAGAGGAUGUUAC
This 1436-nucleotide unclassified non-coding RNA is filed under the name Hevea brasiliensis (rubber tree). Lineage: Eukaryota; Viridiplantae; Streptophyta; Magnoliopsida; Malpighiales; Euphorbiaceae. The record is from RNAcentral.